GACGAACGCUGGCGGCGUGCUUAACACAUGCAAGUCGAACGGAAAGGCCCUGCUUUUGUGGGGUGCUCGAGUGGCGAACGGGGGAGUAACACGUGAGUAACCUGCCCUUGACUUUGGGAUAACUUCAGGAAACUGGGGCUAAUACCGGAUAGGAGCUCCUGCUGCAUGGUGGGCGUUGGAAAGUUUCGGCGGUGGGGGAUGGACUGGCGGCUUACGAGCUUGUUGGUGUGGUAGUUGCUUCCCAAGGCUAUGACGGGUAGCCGGCCUGAGAGGGUUGACGGCCACCUGGGGACUGCGAUAUGGCCCAGAAUCCUACGGGAGGCAGCAGUCGAGAAUAUUGCGCAAUGGGCGGAAGCGUGAUGCGGCGACGCCGCGUGCGGGAUGACGGCCUUCGGGUUGUAAACCGCUUUCGCCUGUGACGAAGCGUGAGUGACGGUAAUGGGUAAAGAAGCACCGGCUAACUACGUG
This 468-nucleotide ribosomal RNA is filed under the name uncultured bacterium. RNAcentral's name for it is "partial 16S ribosomal RNA". It matches the Rfam family "Bacterial small subunit ribosomal RNA", at positions 28 to 507 of the family's 1533-position model. The record is from RNAcentral.